Molecule: ribosomal RNA, 184 nt
Filed under: uncultured Bacteroidota bacterium
Lineage: Bacteria; Pseudomonadati; Bacteroidota
Description: uncultured Bacteroidetes bacterium partial 16S ribosomal RNA
Rfam family: Bacterial small subunit ribosomal RNA
Source: RNAcentral
GCAACCUACCUUAAUCAGGGGGAUAGCCCGAAGAAAUUCGGAUUAACACCGCAUAAAAUCACAGUACAGCAUUGUACAAUGAUCAAAUAUUUAUAGGAUUAAGAUGGCAUGCGUGUCAUUAGCUAGUUGGCGGGGUAAUGGCCCACCAAGGCGACGAUGACUAGGGGAUCUGAGAGGAUGGCCC